This 93-nucleotide small nucleolar RNA is filed under the name Escovopsis weberi. Its description in RNAcentral is "A. fumigatus snoRNA Afu_455". It matches the Rfam family "A. fumigatus snoRNA Afu_455". Lineage: Eukaryota; Fungi; Ascomycota; Sordariomycetes; Hypocreales; Hypocreaceae. The record is from Rfam by way of RNAcentral.
CCGAAUGAUGACCAAAUUGACACCACAGGGAUUCCUCAUGCUUAAUAAACGAUGUGGAUAACGUGUUCAAACAAGUUUCAGCCUUGUCUGACA